RNAcentral lists this ribosomal RNA (301 nucleotides) under uncultured bacterium. Its description in RNAcentral is "partial 16S ribosomal RNA". It matches the Rfam family "Bacterial small subunit ribosomal RNA", at positions 509 to 808 of the family's 1533-position model. The record is from RNAcentral.
CAGUCGCCGCGGUAAUACGGAGGGUGCAAGCGUUACUCGGAAUCACUGGGCGUAAAGGACGCGUAGGCGGAUUAUCAAGUCUCUUGUGAAAUCUAACGGCUUAACCGUUAAACUGCUUGGGAAACUGAUAAUCUAGAGUAAGGGAGAGGCAGAUGGAAUUCUUGGUGUAGGGGUAAAAUCCGUAGAGAUCAAGAAGAAUACCCAUUGCGAAAGCGAUCUGCCGGAACUUAACUGACGCUAAUGCGUGAAAGCGUGGGGAGCAAAUGGGAUUAGAUACCCGCGUAGUCCCUGUCUCUUAACA